Molecule: ribosomal RNA, 492 nt
Filed under: uncultured bacterium
Lineage: Bacteria
Description: partial 16S ribosomal RNA
Rfam family: Bacterial small subunit ribosomal RNA
Source: RNAcentral
AGUGAACGCUGGCGGUAGGCCUAACACAUGCAAGUCGAACGGCAGCACAGUAAUAGCUUGCUCUUACGGGUGGCGAGUGGCGGACGGGUGCGGAAUACAUCGGAAUCUACUUUUUCGUGGGGGAUAACGUAGGGAAACUUACGCUAAUACUGCAUACGACCUACGGGUGAAAGCAGGGGAUCUUCGGACCUUGCGCGAUUGAAUGAGCCGAGGUCGGAUUAGCUAGUUGGCGGGGUAAAGGCCCACCAAGGCGACGAUCCGUAGCUGGUCUGAGAGGAUGAUCAGCCACACUGGAACUGAGACACGGUCCAGACUCCUACGGGAGGCAGCAGUGGGGAAUAUUGGACAAUGGGCGAAAGCCUGAUCCAGCCAUGCCGCGUGGGUGAAGAAGGCCUUCGGAUUGUAAAGCCCUUUUGUUGGGAAAGAAAAGCAGCAGGUUAAUACCCCGCUGUUCUGACGGUACCCAAAGAAUAAGCACCGGCUAACUUCGUG